Molecule: unclassified non-coding RNA, 221 nt
Filed under: plant metagenome
Description: partial contains small subunit ribosomal RNA, internal transcribed spacer 1, and 5.8S ribosomal RNA
Source: RNAcentral
GUCUCCGUUGGUGAACCAGCGGAGGGAUCAUUACAGAGUUGCAAAACUCCCAAACCCUUGUGAACAUACCCGUUACAGUUGCUUCGGUGGGCGGCCCCAGGGCGGGGCCGCAGCCUCUUCUCACGAGGCGCCCGCCGGAGGUAUAUAACUCUUUGUGUUAUGGUCUCUCUGAGUAAAUUUAUAAUAAGUCAAAACUUUUAACAACGGAUCUCUUGGUUCUG